RNAcentral lists this ribosomal RNA (281 nucleotides) under uncultured bacterium. Its description in RNAcentral is "partial 16S ribosomal RNA". It matches the Rfam family "Bacterial small subunit ribosomal RNA", at positions 28 to 309 of the family's 1533-position model. The record is from RNAcentral.
GACGAACGCUGGCGGCGUGCUUAACACAUGCAAGUCGAGCGGUAAGGCCCUUUCGGGGGUACACGAGCGGCGAACGGGUGAGUAACACGUGGGUGACCUGCCCGUCAGCUCUGGGAUAAGCCUGGGAAACCGGGUCUAAUACUGGAUAUGACUCCAUGACGCAUGUUGUGGGGUGGAAAGCCUUGUGCGGCUGAGGAUGGGCCCGCGGCCUAUCAGCUUGUUGGUGGGGUGANGGCCUACCAAGGCGACGACGGGUAGCCGGCCUGAGAGGGCGACCGGCC